Molecule: ribosomal RNA, 466 nt
Filed under: uncultured bacterium
Lineage: Bacteria
Description: bacterial SSU rRNA
Rfam family: Bacterial small subunit ribosomal RNA
Source: RNAcentral
GCACGGGUGAGUAACACGUAUGCAACCUGCCCACAACUGCGGGAUAACCCGUCGAAAGACGGACUAAUACCGCAUGGUAUGGAUCGAUCGCCUGAUUGAUUCAUCAAAGAAUUUCGGUUGUGGAUGGGCAUGCGUUCCAUUAGGCAGUUGGUGAGGUAACGGCUCACCAAACCUACGAUGGAUAGGGGUUCUGAGAGGAAGGUCCCCCACACUGGUACUGAGACACGGACCAGACUCCUACGGGAGGCAGCAGUGAGGAAUAUUGGUCAAUGGGCGAGAGCCUGAACCAGCCAAAUCGCGUGAAGGAUGAAGGUAUUAUGUAUUGUAAACUUCUUUUAUAGGGGAAUAAAGUGCACCACGUGUGGUGUUUUGUAUGUACCCUAGGAAUAAGGAUCGGCUAACUCCGUGCCAGCAGCCGCGGUAAUACGGAGGAUCCAAGCGUUAUCCGGAUUUAUUGGGUUUAAAG